Molecule: ribosomal RNA, 458 nt
Filed under: Tricholoma matsutake
Lineage: Eukaryota; Fungi; Basidiomycota; Agaricomycetes; Agaricales; Tricholomataceae
Description: eukaryotic LSU rRNA
Rfam family: 5.8S ribosomal RNA (bases 82-235)
Source: RNAcentral
UGAAACGGGCCGCCCCCGCCAGAGGACCCCUAACUCUGUUUCUAUAAUGUUUCUUCUGAGUAAAACAAGCAAAUAAAUUAAAACUUUCAACAACGGAUCUCUUGGCUCUGGCAUCGAUGAAGAACGCAGCGAAAUGCGAUAAGUAAUGUGAAUUGCAGAAUUCAGUGAAUCAUCGAAUCUUUGAACGCACAUUGCGCCCGCCAGUAUUCUGGCGGGCAUGCCUGUUCGAGCGUCAUUACAACCCUCAGGCCCCCGGGCCUGGCGUUGGGGAUCGGCGGAGCCCCCCGUGGGCACACGCCGUCCCCCAAAUGCAGUGGCGGUCCCGCCGCAGCUUCCAUCGCGUAGUAGCUAACACCUCGCGACUGGAGAGCGGCGCGGCCACGCCGUAAAACACCCAACUCUUCUGAAGUUGACCUCGAAUCAGGUAGGAAUACCCGCUGAACUUAAGCAUAUCAAUA